AAAAAACCCAUCAAAAGAGAUUUUCUAUGAUUCAUUCAUAACAAUAGAGGGAUAGAUAUUCACAUAAACUCUCACAGAACCUCAAAAAAAAUCCUCACUCUCUCAACACACACAGAGAUGACAUCACAGUCACUGACACACACAGAGCCCACCGAAAAUGCACACACACAACACUACUCACAGAGAGAUGGUGAGAGGGAGAAAGAUUUCGGUGAGAGGUGGAGGUGAUUAAGAGAAGAAAAUAGGUGAAAAAUAUGAAAUAUUGAUGGAGAUUGAAUUCUGCGGCAAAAAUAUCGA
RNAcentral lists this long non-coding RNA (297 nucleotides) under Capsicum annuum. RNAcentral's name for it is "long non-coding RNA (CANN_LNC013700)". Lineage: Eukaryota; Viridiplantae; Streptophyta; Magnoliopsida; Solanales; Solanaceae. The record is from RNAcentral.